RNAcentral lists this small RNA (327 nucleotides) under Drosophila mojavensis. Its description in RNAcentral is "GI26408". Lineage: Eukaryota; Metazoa; Arthropoda; Insecta; Diptera; Drosophilidae. The record is from RNAcentral.
UAGCUAUUUCAAUUCGUUGCAGCUAUGCUUCCAGAAAGGUAUAAAAUGGAAGGCCCAAGCCCGAUCGUUAUCAUCGUUUUAAACGAAAACUAGAAUCAACAUGAAAUUGAUACUUCUCGCUGCUGUGCUUGGUGUCUUGGCAUCAGGCAGCUUUGUUGUCGCUCAGAACACUGAUGGAGACUACGUAGUCUUAGACCGAAGACCAAUCGGCUAAAACUGAUUUUUUUUUUUAAAUAUAAAGUGUAUUUAAAUUCAAAAUAAGUUUUCGGGAUAUUAAAGCAAAGUAGUAGGAUUUGGUUUUUACCUAUCCAGUUCGAACCCAUAAAA